RNAcentral lists this long non-coding RNA (1611 nucleotides) under Malus domestica (apple). RNAcentral's name for it is "long non-coding RNA (MDOM_LNC015300)". Lineage: Eukaryota; Viridiplantae; Streptophyta; Magnoliopsida; Rosales; Rosaceae. The record is from RNAcentral.
UUAAAAAGAAUGAAGGAUUUAGAGAUUCAUUACCCUUGAAGCUCAUCCUUGUUUACACAAGGAAUUCACCCAAGUGAAGGGCCUUCAAGUCACCUCCUAGCUCUUUGGAUCUUCCUUGUGAUUUUCUUCCUUUUGAUGAUCCUUUGCUCCUUGAGGAUAUGAGGAAAGGAUCUCCAAGAACACCAAAGAUUUGGUGUCUCUAAGUCUCCACACCAAGAAUGAGGUGUGAAGAUGAAAUGGAUGACUUAGAGAAGAAAAGAUUGCUAGCUAUCUCUUCCCUAAGUGGCAAGCCUCUUUUAGAGAAAAAGAGAGAAAAUGUUUCUCAUCUUUGUCUCAAGAAAACCCUAAUAAGGUAAAAACUAUAAAGAUGCUUUUAUAUCUCCUUUCUUAGGUGAGUGGCAAACUUGCAAUUAAGCAAAACUUCCCACUUCCCUCACUAUGGCCGGCCAUCUUAAGUGAUUGGGCUAUUUACCCAUAUUUGUUUUAGUUGUCAUACAACUUAAACAUAAUGGACCUAGUGGACCAAACCCUUUUGGACCCUGAAGCCCAAAACUAACUUAAAAGCCCAAUACGAACCUUUCGUAUAAUUAAUCAACUAAUUAAUUAACCUUGACCAUUUUCAAUUAAAUCAUUUAAUUGCUUAUCCAUUUCAUUUAUAUUUCUUCACUUUCAUCCUUACUCGGUGUACGAUCCAUUAUGUUCCAAUUAGCGAGGUAGUGGGCGAUUGUUACUCUUAACAAUCGAUUGUGAAUUGAAACUUCAUUUCAAUUCUCCCCUUGAUUAAGAUUAGUGUUUGCUAAUCUUCAAGGCUUCAACAAACCAUGAGUGACACCUAGCAACAUGUCAUGGUUACCCAAGCUAAAUAGAAUUGGUUGGAGAACCUAUCCAGUUACAAUUACAAUGUAAUACGGUCAUUCUCUAAUACAAUACUCUUAAUCACAUUGUUUGAGUGAUAGUUUGUUUCAUGUCUACUAUCCAACGUAAUACUUCUCUAUAUGAUUCAAUUGAAUAUGAUUUGGAACAUACUUCCUAAGUCAUAUUCGUAUGCUUUGGCCAAAGACUCCCGAAUCAUAUCUUAGAGUAUUCUCCUUCCACCAUAGAAGGUUAGAGAUCCCUUGUUGUGAAUUCAUAUGCCUACAUGACUAGAUAGCUUGACCCCAACAAUGCCGUGGACACUCUCGAUGGAAUGCCUUUGACAUGAUCAAAGAUCAAGGACUUAACCAUUAAACAUCUAUGAUGCCUCAGGUCAAAUGACUACUUUGCAUAUUGCAACUAACGAGUUCUUACAUGACAUGUAUGUUCGAACUCGCUUUUGAUCAUUGUUCAGUGUACUCGAUUACUCUUUCGAGCACCUAUGUGUUUGUCUUAGUGUUCAACACUAAAUGACUUGAGACUAGUCAUACUCAUGCUUGAGUUGACAUAACACAUACUAACCUUAGCGGAUUGUCAAUGCCCAAUUGGCAAUCCUAUGGCUAGGAACGUUUUAGGAAUGAACAUAAGAGAAAGGUCUCGUUAAUCUAACUUACUUAGAUUAGUUCUCUCAGAUUAAAUACUUUCCUUGGAUUCCCUUAUUGCUUAAACACAUGAUACAAUAAAUAGUGAUUAACAAUA